GUUUGUCGUAGCGGGUGGCGAUCGCGCGGAACUGUUUGAGCCGGUUGAAGCAGCGUUCGACGACGUUGCGGCGCUUG
This 77-nucleotide transfer RNA is filed under the name Amycolatopsis sp. YIM 10. RNAcentral's name for it is "tRNA-Ser". Lineage: Bacteria; Bacillati; Actinomycetota; Actinomycetes; Pseudonocardiales; Pseudonocardiaceae. The record is from RNAcentral.